GACGAACGCUGGCGGCGUGCCUAAUACAUGCAAGUAGAACGCUGAAGGAAGGAGCUUGCUCUUUCUGGAUGAGUUGCGAACGGGUGAGUAACGCGUAGGUAACCUGCCUGGUAGCGGGGAUAACUAUUGGAAACGAUAGCUAAUACCGCAUAAAAUUGAUUAUUGCAUGAUAGUCAAUUAAAAGGUGCAACUGCACCACUACCAGAUGGAACUGCGUUGUAUUAGCUAGUUGGUGGGGUAACGGCUCACCAAGGCGACGAUACAUAGCCGACCUGAGAGGGUGAUCGGCCACACUGGGACUGAGACACGGCCCAGACUCCUACGGGAGGCAGCAGUAGGGAAUCUUCGGCAAUGGACGGAAGUCUGACCGAGCAACGCCGCGUGAGUGAAGAAGGUUUUCGGAUCGUAAAGCUCUGUUGUAAGAGAAGAACGAGUGUGAGAGUGGAAAGUUCACACUGUGACGGUAUCUUACCAGAAAGGGACGGCUAACUACGUG
RNAcentral lists this ribosomal RNA (496 nucleotides) under uncultured bacterium. RNAcentral describes it as "partial 16S ribosomal RNA". It matches the Rfam family "Bacterial small subunit ribosomal RNA", at positions 28 to 507 of the family's 1533-position model. The record is from RNAcentral.